GUAGUCUCGCACAGAUGCAUAUCAAUAAGCGGAGGAAAAGAAACUAACAAGGAUUCCCCUAGUAACGGCGAGUGAAGCGGGAAGAGCUCAAAUUUGAAAUCUUAAAGGGUUUCCCUUUACGAAUUGUAGUUUAAAGAAGUGUUUUCUGUUGAGGUUUUGGUAAAAGUUCUUUGGAAUAGGACAUCAUAGAGGGUGAGAAUCCCGUAUUUGACCUUUACUUUCAACUUUGUGAUACACUUUCAAAGAGUCGGAUUGUUUGGGAAUGCAGUCCAAAAUGGGUGGUAAAUUUCAUCUAAAGCUAAAUAUUGGCAAGAGUCCGAUAGCGAACAAGUACCGUGAGGGAAAGAUGAAAAGAACUUUGAAAAGAGAGUUAAACAGUACGUGAAAUUGUCAAAAGGGAAGCGUUUGACACCAGUGUUGUUUUUCUGAAAAUCAAUUAAAGAACUGUUUAUGCUAAGCUGUUUAGACUUUAUCAGCUAACUGUUUAGUUUUGAGCUUUUCUUUAAUGCACUUUUCAGUUAACAAGUCAACAUCAAUUUCUUUUGCUGUAAAAAAGCUUGAGGAAGGUGGCUUGAGAUUCGUCUUAAGUGUUUAUAGCCUCUUGCCUAUGCAGUCGGAGAGAUUGAGGUCUGCAGCGUAGAUCCUUCGGGGCUAAAUGCAUUUGUGCUAAGUUAUAGCAUUUUAUAGACAACUUGUUGACUAUGAUUUGUCUUGUAGCUUACUCGCUUAUGUUAUUUUACCUACGCUUAGGAUGUUGAUCUGUAGUGCGUGCGC
This 774-nucleotide ribosomal RNA is filed under the name uncultured Neocallimastigales. RNAcentral describes it as "partial large subunit ribosomal RNA". It matches the Rfam family "Eukaryotic large subunit ribosomal RNA", at positions 24 to 646 of the family's 3401-position model. The record is from RNAcentral. Lineage: Eukaryota; Fungi; Neocallimastigomycota; Neocallimastigomycetes; Neocallimastigales.